UACGUAGGGUGCAAGCGUUGUCCGGAAUCAUUGGGCGUAAAGCGCGCGUAGGUGGUCAUGUAAGUCCGCUGUGAAAGUCAAAGGCUCAACCUUUGAAAGCCGGUGGAUACUGCAUGACUAGAGUACGGAAGAGGCGAGUGGAAUUCCUGGUGUAGCGGUGAAAUGCGCAGAUAUCGGGAGGAACACCAAUGGCGAAGGCAGCUUGCUGGGACGGUACUGACGCUGAGGCGCGAAAGCGUGGGGAGCGAACAGG
This 253-nucleotide ribosomal RNA is filed under the name uncultured bacterium. Its description in RNAcentral is "partial 16S ribosomal RNA". It matches the Rfam family "Bacterial small subunit ribosomal RNA", at positions 524 to 776 of the family's 1533-position model. The record is from RNAcentral.